ACUACACUUACAUUUACAACCCCCCAGUAACCCAGUACGAUUUCCUGCAAAUUCCAAAGUCAGAUCCCGGCUGGAACAUUUCAGUGCGCUUGCCACGUCACUUUGCCUCCCCUUUCGUCCCUUUUCUACUUUCGUCCCGCUCCUCGCCUCUCUUUUCUCCAUUUAUCGCUUUCUCUUUACUUUGAAAAUGACUGCUAAAGGGACAUUUCUCAGCGUUAUUCAUAAAAGAAUGGUAAAGAGCGAAAACUGCACAUGGUCCAGAAUGCGAAAACGAAUCCAUGAUGGCAAAAAGGUCCUUAUUCCACUUGAAGAAACUGCAGAGGCCUGGAAUAUGCAUUUGCCACGCAGCAGCGGACAUUCGUGUGCGGUCCUCGGGGCAGUGACCUGCGGUCCAGCCGCCCUCUUUCCUCCCCCCCGCCUGCCCAGUGUUCAGACUACCUGUUCAUCAUGCUGCAGCUGAACAGUAGUCCGCACAUUGGUUAGGCUGGGCAGGGACACACACACCCGUGGCUCGAGUAAAAAAAAGGACUCUACCAUUCGCUGCUGGACGGGGGGGAUUUUACAUAUAAACAAUCUCUCUUGGGGAAUACAGAGAGACGUUUACAUUGAAGAUGCUUUGGAUGAAAGCAUCUGCCAAAUGCAUUAAAGUACACAUUCAUAAAUGUAUGUGCUCCCUGGGAAUGAAACCCAAGGCCUUGAUGUUACUCGCACCACACUCAACCAGUCAACCCACAGGAACUUUGGAAAACAGCUAACGUUUGCACUAAUUUCAAACGCAAAUGAAGUUCGAGCCCAGCUUGAGUGGCACCAGUUUUAAGUUCAAGAGAAAGGGGGAGGGACUGUAAGCGAGAAAUGAAGAACAGAUGAAUCUCACCUCCUCGUCCUUGUACCAGGACAGCGAUUCGGCUGACAGGACGAACCAGUACUCCUUGGAGCCGCCCUUCAUAAUGCUGAUGUGGAGGGUUAGCCAGCCUUUACGGAUCACCUGUGGGACAGAGGGCGGAGGGGGUGUGGAGGGUGUAGGGCAUGCCACAAGAGUGGGGAAACAUUUAUGAGAUCCACACAGUCUUUGUGCUGGAAGCUUGUGUCCUAUGCUGAACAAACCUGAAAACCCUAUUGUGCAAAGUUGUGCUUACCUGCUUUGGAAUUAUUUUGUGUAAGUUUGGUUGCCUUCUGUUGUGGUUUACGUGAUUAAGUAAAUAACUCUACUUUGUACGUUACAGCUGUGGUUUUCAACUGGUUUAAAAAAAAUAUCCGGCAAAAUUGGUCCUUUUUUUUUUUUUUUUUUCACUGAAAUUUUGCAGGCAAAAUGGUCCAUUGUUUUCCAAUUUUGUUUUAAUUUUUUCAGGCCAAAAAGGUUUCAUUGCCAAUCCCAAUUGAAAAUUAACCAUGGUUUUAUUAUAGUAAAAGUCUAGUAACCAAGGUUUUUUUUUUUUUUUUUUUUUUCCACUACAAAUAGAAUGGUUAAACUAUGGUUAGUGUAGCGAAACCAUGGUUAAUUUGAUUUACUAUGGUUUAACUAUUGAAACCAUGUUUUUUGGGGUUUUAAUUGUAGUAAAAAACAUGAUUAAUGUUCGUAAGGGAUAUAGCAAUGCAUAACACAGAAAUCACCUUUUUUAAUACAAAAAGAAUGUUUGUGGAAAUCUUCCGCCCUUGCACAAAAUUCCCAAUUGCAUGGAUUCCUUUUGUAUAAAUAAAUAUAAAUGUAAAUAUAAUUUAAACCAGAAAAGUGAUGACUGUAACUGCAUGAAAAAUAGCACUAGUGUGAUUUACCAACAUAAAUGCAUAUCAGUUGUAUCAGUAUUAGCAUAUUAGCUAAAAUUCCAUUAUAUUUGCACUUUAUUAUUCACAUUUAGCUUUAGGUUGUGAUUCACCAAUUGGGAACCACUAGACUACAGUAUCUAUUCUGCAUUGAGUCAGAACAUAAGGCAGCAAUUAAAGCUUAGUCACAAAUAAAUGGUCCAGAAAACACUAACAAAACCACUGGGGAGUGUCUUGAAGUCUUGAAAUAGUGCAACAAUAAAAGAACAAAGGAACAA
Long non-coding RNA from Cyprinus carpio (common carp), 2039 nucleotides. RefSeq lists it as uncharacterized. The record is from RefSeq and is a predicted model, not a curated record. Lineage: Eukaryota; Metazoa; Chordata; Actinopteri; Cypriniformes; Cyprinidae.